UACGGAGGUUGCAAGCGUUGUUCGGAAUUACUGGGCGUAAAGGGAGCGCAGGCGGCUUGGCCAGUCUGAAGUGAAAGCCCGGGGCUCAACUCCGGAAGUGCUUUGGAUACUACCAAGCUUGAGUUCGUGAGAGGAGAGCGGAAUUCCAGGUGUAGCGGUGAAAUGCGUAGAUAUCUGGAGGAACACCGGUGGCGAAGGCGGCUCUCUGGCGCGAAACUGACGCUGAGGCUCGAAAGCGUGGGGAGCGAACGGG
RNAcentral lists this ribosomal RNA (253 nucleotides) under uncultured bacterium. Its description in RNAcentral is "partial 16S ribosomal RNA". It matches the Rfam family "Bacterial small subunit ribosomal RNA", at positions 524 to 776 of the family's 1533-position model. The record is from RNAcentral.